GACGUAGGGGGCGAGCGUUGUCCGGAAUUAUUGGGCGUAAAGAGCUCGUAGGCGGUGUGUCGCGUCGGCCGUGAAAACCUGCAGCUUAACUGUGGGCUUGCGGUCGAUACGGGCAUCACUGGAGUUCGGCAGGGGAGACUGGAAUUCCUGGUGUAGCGGUGAAAUGCGCAGAUAUCAGGAGGAACACCAAUGGCGAAGGCAGCUCGCUGGAACGGUACUGACGCUGAGGCGCGAAAGCGUGGGGAGCGAACAGG
This 254-nucleotide ribosomal RNA is filed under the name uncultured bacterium. Its description in RNAcentral is "partial 16S ribosomal RNA". It matches the Rfam family "Bacterial small subunit ribosomal RNA", at positions 524 to 776 of the family's 1533-position model. The record is from RNAcentral.